This 253-nucleotide ribosomal RNA is filed under the name uncultured bacterium. RNAcentral's name for it is "partial 16S ribosomal RNA". It matches the Rfam family "Bacterial small subunit ribosomal RNA", at positions 524 to 776 of the family's 1533-position model. The record is from RNAcentral.
UACGGGGGGGGCAAGCGUUGUUCGGAAUUACUGGGCGUAAAGAGCUCGUAGGUGGCCAACUAAGUCAGACGUGAAAUCCCUCGGCUUAACCGGGGAACUGCGUCUGAUACUGGAUGGCUUGAGUUUGGGAGAGGGACGCGGAAUUCCAGGUGUAGCGGUGAAAUGCGUAGAUAUCUGGAGGAACACCGGUGGCGAAGGCGGCGUCCUGGACCAACACUGACACUGAGGAGCGAAAGCCAGGGGAGCAAACGGG